UCCUGGCUUAGGAUGAACGCUGGCGGCGUGCCUAACACAUGCAAGUCGAACGGAGUAAUUAAGCGGAAGUUUCGGAUGGAAGCAUAGUACUUAGUGGCGGACGGGUGAGUAACGCGUGGGCAACCUGCCCUGUACCGGGGGAUAACACUUAGAAAUAGGUGCUAAUACCGCAUAAGCGCACAGCUUCGCAUGAAGGUGUGUGAAAAACUCCGGUGGUACAGGAUGGACCCGCGUCUGAUUAGCUAGUUGGUGGGGUAGAGGCCUACCAAGGCGACGAUCAGUAGCCGGCCUGAGAGGGUGACCGGCCACAUUGGGACUGAGACACGGCCCAAACUCCUACGGGAGGCAGCAGUGGGGAAUAUUGCACAAUGGGGGAAACCCUGAUGCCAGCGACGCCGCGUGAGUGAAGAAGUAUUUCGGUAUGUAAAGCUCUAUCAGCAGGGAAGAAAAUGACGGUACCUGACUAAGAAGCCCCGGCUAACUACGUGCCAGCCGCCGC
This 499-nucleotide ribosomal RNA is filed under the name uncultured bacterium. RNAcentral's name for it is "bacterial SSU rRNA". It matches the Rfam family "Bacterial small subunit ribosomal RNA", at positions 17 to 518 of the family's 1533-position model. The record is from RNAcentral.